Molecule: small RNA, 3418 nt
Filed under: Rattus norvegicus (Norway rat)
Lineage: Eukaryota; Metazoa; Chordata; Mammalia; Rodentia; Muridae
Description: uncharacterized LOC102550328
Source: RNAcentral
GUGCGCCUGUGUAUGUGUAUGAUAUAGUUUUUAGUAUAUGUACUUGUUAGUUUGUAUGCACACAUGCAUGAGGAUGCUGGUGCACAUAUGUUGCACAUGCAUGUGGAGCUCCACUUUGCCCGUCCGUUCUCCACAGUUCUCCAGUGUUAAUAUUUGAGACAGCGUCUCUGGUUGAACCUGUAGGCCAAUGACUGGGCUAGUCCAGCUGACUGACUAAAGAGCUUCAAGAACCCAAGUGUCUCUGCUACUCUCUCUCCCUGCGCUGGGGUUACAGGCAGGAACCCCUCCCUGUGCUGAGCCCUUCACCUGGGUUCUAGGGAUUGGAACUCAACUCCUCGUGCUUUCAGGGUAGGUACUUCGCCGGCUGAGCCAUCUCCCCAGCCGGUACAUCUGAUUUUAAGUGACCUUUAUCAGGAUCCAGCUUCUGCCUGUUCUACCAAAGCUGUCCUCAGACAGGCUACACCACUCCAAGUUCACAGCCAGCCGAAAUGAGUAUCUUUGUUCUAGGACAUCUGAGGGUGGCUCUGCUGGCUCUGGGUGCUCCCCUGCCUACUCCUGAGUUCACUGCCUUGGUGAAUGUCACCUGCUGUAGCUCAGGUUGUCGAUUCCCGAGUCAAGAGUGGAUGUAGCCCCCUGAGUGGUCUGUGACCCCCAGACGGGAAGGCAGGGCGCGCUUACCAGUUAAUGAACGCUGAACAGCUGAAAGGGGAAAUGUCCACUUUUCUGGUCAAACCCAGGGUCUAAUUCCACACACAUUAGAAGUCCUUAGAAGACCACUGUCUUCCCCGGCUGCUCUUGCUCCUGCCAUCUAGCUGUCUUGGCAAGGGUAGGAGCUUGGGAGAAGGAGGUAGGAGCCAUUGUUCCCCCAGGUGCCCUUUGUUCUUGUUGCCACAGGAUCGAGCAUCCUGACCCCUCUGUGUGCCACUGUGAUUCUGGAAAAGACACUCUUCCACUCGGAGUCACAGUUUCCUCUGCUGCAGAUACGGUUCGUGAUGUCCAUGCAACCUCUCUCAGGAGACAGGAAGUGGGUAGUGGGUGGCAGGACCAGAGACUCGUGUCUCCUCUUUUUUUUCUUUUUUUUUUUUUAAAGAGGUCCUUUAUUGAAAGGGGGGAGGAAGCCAGGAAGAGAACGCUUGGGUCUCCUCCUUAAGGCUGGGGCAGCUCUGAAGAAGCCACACAGAGUAAGGUUUUGUUUGUUUUGAACACUUUCGGUGCUGGCCCAGAACGCUUAAAGGAAAUGCUUUAAACGUGUUGGCAAUCUGUGCUCUGAGUGAGACCACGGCCUCUGAGCCCAGACAGAUCAGUCCAAGCUCUGGCCCUGCCCCAAGUGUUUGUGUGUUUAACUUCUCAAGGGUUUCCACUGAGGGGAACAAAAGCCCAGAAGUUUCCCCGAAGUCCUUUGGCUUAAUCCUCCCAAGAGUCAUUGAAGCCUCUCAAGAUUGAUCCAGAAAGUGGAGGACACUUCAAGACUCUGCUUUUCAUAUUUGUCUGUUCCUCUUCAACAAACCCACUUGAGGUUUUUGUUGUUGUUUUUUUUUUUUUUUCUUUUUAUGCCCCAGUGACAACAUAACACUGAAGUUCAAGAAUUAUGUCUAGGGUCACAGUGGCAGGAAGUGGCUGAACAGGGAGGCAUCUUUCAAGAAUCUUCUCUCCAUGCACAGAGAGAAAGAAAGAGCUAAGACUGCAACGGGCUCUCAGGCUGAGAAACCGGAAAGAACGGGUUUUGACAGCAUUCGACAGGAAGAUGGCAAGGUUUAAGCAAAGGGUGCAAACCACAGGCUGGAAGCUCCAGAUGCCUUGAUGACGUCACGCCCAUGGAGCCGGCCCUGUGCCUGACUUGAUGUUCAGCUGGAUUGAAAGUUGGAGCACAAAGGAACAGACAGUUUUAAGGGAACCAGCAGAUAAAUUUGUAUUUCUGGUUGGGUAAGAAGGAUGAAGACUUAACAAAAAUCAAACUACUGGUUUUUGUGGAUGAAAGUCCCUGGAAAGGAGAUAGAUGUACCCGCCUGACCACAGCAGGGAUCUCAGUAUCUGAGGUUCUAAUGUUCAGUAUCUAAUGUUCCAGGUCCUGAGCCAAAUUACUUUGGGCCAAUCAUUAGCCUCCUUAACAGCCACCGAUCGCCUUCUGUAUGCGCCCUAACAGCUCUGUGGCCCUUAGCUUCCUGCUCUCUCAGAACACGAUGUUUGUAAAACAAACAAUCACAAAACAAAACGAAACAAAACGAAACAGAGAACUCUGUUCCCAAGCCAUGGCCAUCCCUACUGGCUCCAGAACUCUGAUCCCCUUCGAGAAACGGAACUUCGUGAACGCGUGUGGCGAGAGCAUUAAAUAGACACCAGCUCUCCUGUGUUCUGCACUCACUUCCCAGGGAAGCCAUACACCUAAUAAACUGCCCAGCCAGAGCUGGCUUGCACUGCUGAUAGCCUCAGCAGGCACUGACCUUGGCACCGUGACAAGGGCAACAUUUCCAAGUGGAUGAGCGCCUCCUGAACAAAGUGUCCAAUGUACCAGGAAUAAACAGGCCUUUCAUCAACCGAGCCUGCGUGUUUUCUGGUUCCAACAGCCUUCCCCACUGCCGGGGUCAGAAAGCAGGGACAUCAACCAGCAGGGCCUCUUGGACAACCUGCUAGUCUUGCUCAUUCCUCCCAGAGGAUUCUGGGACUGAAUAGACUUGCAGGCCUCUGCCAUCACCUGUCAUGGCUGCAGUACAACUAUUUUAAACUUACGUUUGACCAGCUUAGGAAUGAACAAGACUCAGACUGUGGUUAUUUUAUUUGACUUUGACAAUUAUUGGGGGGUGACCCCUAAUCUACUUUUCUAACUGCUGGCCUGGCUACCUCCCCAGCGGUGUACCCCAAAUGCUUGCCGUUUCUCCUGGCCGUGUGCUCACGGUCCAUCUCCUCUCAUGGCGGCUUCCUCUCUCCUCCUCAUUUUCUCCUCCCCUCCACGCUCAACCAGGUAACUCAAAAACCCACCUCCCUCCAACCCCUACCCCCAGAAAUUGUCCGUAGUCAUUUUUAUUUAACCAAUAGUUUUAAAUUAAGGAACAGGGUUUGCACAACAACCGCUGGUAAAUUUGAGAAUUGCCUCGUAGGCUUAGACGUACGAAUUUAGUAUCCAAUACAUAGCGGCUCACCAAACUUCAACGCGAGGUUCCAUGAUUUCCCUUCUCCAUUUCUGCAAGAGUAGAACCGGAAAAGUGCGUUCCUUUACGCCUUGGUAAGAUCUGAGCAGGGGCAUUAGCUCCCCCUGUGGUGCAAAAGGGGAGUCUUGGGGCCACAUUCGCAAAACUCUGUACAGCAGCCCCAAAUAGGACAUCACAUCGUCAAGCACUGGCAGGGCCAACUUUUGAAAGGGACAGGUCACUAAGUCAGCCCCAAGGAGAGCAUGCACAGGCUUAGAGGAUAAGCUCCUGGA